Long non-coding RNA from Acinonyx jubatus (cheetah), 1424 nucleotides. RefSeq lists it as uncharacterized. NCBI's taxonomy places the organism in Eukaryota, Metazoa, Chordata, Mammalia, Carnivora, Felidae. The record is from RefSeq and is a predicted model, not a curated record. The transcript has 3 exons.
CCGGAAGGGGCUGUUCUGUCAGCCCAGGUGGGAGAGUGGAGGUCCCUGGCCUGGAAUGGGCCUUGAAGAAAAGAGGAGGAGAGGGAAGGAAGGAUCCUUCAGGUGGGGGAAAUAUGCAGAGCCAAGGAGUUUGGGCUUAUGGGGUGAGAAAUGGGGAACCACAGAAGGUGCUUGAGCAGACCACCACCCUGGUGUGCGAUGCAGUUUAGGAAGGCCCGUCUGGAAGCAGACGGAAGGCAGACAGGGGGGAAAGAGACUGGGUCUGGGGUUCCAGUGCCAAGACUAGGUAGGCAUCUGGGACAGGAUCGAGCCUCUAAAUUGCAGGAGGAACCAGGAACCAGACAGCACACGCUGAUGCAUCAGAUGCAUGCCCCACUUAACCACCACUGAAUGAAGAUACGGAACAUUUGCAUCAUCUCAGAAAGUUCCCUCAUGCUCCUCUGCAGUCCAACUCCCAGACCAGCACUGAUCUAAUUUCUGUAGAUUAGUAUUGCCACUUUUGGAAUUUCAUAUGAAUAGAAGCAUUCGGAUCUGAUGCCACAGAAAUGGGUGACUGAGACAUCCCCCACCUACAACUCCGCCUGAGAGCGGCUGACACCUGUACAGGGACGAUAACAAGUCAGAACCUUCGGCAGCGUGGGGACCAGAACUCCCGCCCUACCAGCCAAGAGCACCCAGAUGUCUGAGAUGGUUCUUGCUUAUUCACAUCUCCAAGGAUAUAGAAAGCCUACCUGAGCCUCCCUGUGGCCUGUCCCAGCCUUUACUGGAAGGGAGUCCAUCUGGUGGUUUAAUCUCAAUCCCUUCUUAAUCUAGUCUUCCGUCACUGACUUCAGGAAGACCUCCCUGGGGACAACCAAGCUGAUGAAACAUCUGUUUUAGUCCAGAGAGGUAUUUGACAUCUUGAAUGUGGACACAUGUGCUUGGACAAGGAGAAAAUGAGAGCCUCCCAACAAUGGGAAAGUAAGACUUCCACUCCGAUGGGUAUGGCAUGAGGAGUUAUUCCCCUCGUGACCCAAGGUCAGUGUUAGGACUGGGCACUAGCUCCCGACAGUGGUCCCAGAAGUAACGUGGUCACCAGCUCUGAACCCAGUCACCAAAGGAAUCAUUCAAGUUUUCCCAGGUCAGAAAAGAAGAUCUGGGGUGCAGACCCCCCAGAGGCUCAGCAUCUCCCCAACCCGGUUCCAAAAGAACAUAAGGGUCAGGCUCUCCCAGACUCUUCUGGGAAGUGGGACCCGCCAAAUGCAGCAGGACACAGAGAUCCCUCCACCUGCCCAGGAGUCCAGCUCCGGGCUGCCUCCCCACCCACACUGACGGGCUACACGAUCACGAACAAGCCAGUCUCCCCGAAUCUUUCUAUUUGCCCUUUCAGUGUGAGGCCUCCUUUUACCCUGCCUUCUAACCAACAGUGUUCUGGAACCAGUUCA